UACGGGAGGCAGCAGCCAGGAAUCUUGGGCAAUGGGCGAAAGCCUGACCCAGCAACACCGUGUGGGUGAUGAAGGCCUUCGGGUCGUAAAGCCCUGUUGAUAGGGACGAAGGGCGAAGGGUUAAUAGCCCCUAGCUUGACGGUACCUGUCGAGGAAGCCCCGGCUAACUACGUGCCAGCAGCCGCGGUAAUACGUAGGGGGCGAGCGUUGUCCGGAUUUAUUGGGCGUAAAGAGCGUGUAGGCGGUUCGGUAAGUCUGUCGUGAAAUCCCGAGGCUCAACCUCGGGCGUGCGAUGGAUACUGCCGGGCUAGAGGGUGGUAGAGGCGAGUGGAAUUCCCGGUGUAGCGGUGAAAUGCGCAGAUAUCGGGAGGAACACCAGUAGCGAAGGCGGCUCGCUGGGCCACACCUGACGCUGAGACGCGAAAGCUAGGGGAGCGAACAGGAUUAGAUACCCUGGUAG
This 460-nucleotide ribosomal RNA is filed under the name uncultured Actinomycetes bacterium. RNAcentral describes it as "bacterial SSU rRNA". It matches the Rfam family "Bacterial small subunit ribosomal RNA", at positions 340 to 793 of the family's 1533-position model. The record is from RNAcentral. Lineage: Bacteria; Bacillati; Actinomycetota; Actinomycetes.